Molecule: ribosomal RNA, 500 nt
Filed under: uncultured bacterium
Lineage: Bacteria
Description: partial 16S ribosomal RNA
Rfam family: Bacterial small subunit ribosomal RNA
Source: RNAcentral
AUUGAACGCUGGCGGAAUGCUUUACACAUGCAAGUCGAACGGCAGCACGGACUUCGGUCUGGUGGCGAGUGGCGAACGGGUGAGUAAUACAUCGGAACGUGCCCAGUCGUGGGGGAUAACGUAGCGAAAGCUACGCUAAUACCGCAUACGAUCUAAGGAUGAAAGCGGGGGAUCGCAAGACCUCGCGCGAUUGGAGCGGCCGAUGGCAGAUUAGGUAGUUGGUAGGGUAAAGGCCUACCAAGCCGACGAUCUGUAGCUGGUCGGAGAGGAUGAGCAGCCACACUGGGACUGAGACACGGCCCAGACUCCUACGGGAGGCAGCAGUGGGGAAUUUUGGACAAUGGGCGCAAGCCUGAUCCAGCCAUUCCGCGUGCAGGAUGAAAGCCUUCGGGUUGUAAACUGCUUUUGUACAGAACGAAAAGGCUCUGGUUAAUACCCGGGGCUCAUGACGGUACUGUAAGAAUAAGCACCGGCUAACUACGUGCCAGCCGCCGCCGUAA